Molecule: long non-coding RNA, 293 nt
Filed under: Mus spicilegus (steppe mouse)
Lineage: Eukaryota; Metazoa; Chordata; Mammalia; Rodentia; Muridae
Description: lncRNA (ENSMSIG00000010938.1)
Source: RNAcentral
GUCUGCUUUGGAGACAAGCAGAGCUGUCAGCAUCCCUCAUGGGCUGCCUCUGAGGUCACUCCUCUAUGGCGAGCAUUGCUUUCUAAAGACAGGAGCAGAGGUCAGAGGUCAGUUCUCUGGAAAGGUGAAGAAAUGUCAGAAGGUCAUCGGUCUCCUCACCACAGAGAUUCGUGGAUUACAUGCUCAGCACUGUGCAGAAGGUGACAGGUGGUCAGGUGUGACUUCUGUCACCGGGAGCCAGCCAUCCACAAAGGAAAUGGCCUAAUCAUAUGCGCUAUGAUGGAGGGAGGGCA